AUGUGGAAGGAAGAGAACAGGAUUCACAUCCAGUGCAAGGUGAAGGAGAGCGGAGACGUGGUGCUGUCUGGAGCGUAUAUAGAUCUGCAGACGGAUGUGUGUGUCAGCGCCGGGUUUCCGCAGGAUGUUCAGAUAUUUGAGCUGGAAAACAAGGGGAAGAGCAUCAUUCUCUGCGGUGAAGAAGAACACCAUGACCUUCAUCAAAUUAAAAUCUCUUCUGUUUGUUUCCGAGUCGAACGGUGACAGUGAACAGUCCACCUGGAUGUUCCCGUGUUUGGCUCCUGGGAUGAUCUGAAUCCUCUCAAAGUCCCUCCCCAGGAUGAUGAUGUCACAGCCAGAGUAGGACGCCUGUCCCACGAGCCCAGGACAAAACAACACACACAGUCUGACACUGAUAAUCACAGAGAGUUCUACAUAUCAUCUGAAUCCAAUGCUUUGCUACAUUUUUUUUUUUUUUUUUUUAAAUCGCGGAAUCAGAGUUUUAAAUGUUUUCAUUUACGGUUAAUAAUCUCUGCUGCUGCUGUUACAGUCACGAACAGCUUGAAUCAGCUGGACUUUUUGAGUCAAAUAUUUUGACAAACUUUUUUUAGCAUUUUUAUUUUAUAUUAUUUCUUAAAAUAUCAGACAAUAUCUGCCUUCAUUUUGCAUGCAUUUUGUUUAUUCUCGCUUAUAAACUUUUUGUUGCUCUUUUUGUUGUGUUGUUUUUUUAUCCUCAUUUGUAAGUCGCUUUGGAUAAAAGUGUGCUAAAUGAAUAAAUGUAAAUGUAAACUUAUCAAAUUAUGGCUUCUUUUCCUUAAAUGAAUAUCGAAAUAUUCAACUCAAAUAAACGCUUGUAUGAUGCAGGUACAACUAUGCAACUAUGGCAGCUGAGAAGGCCAUUCUUUGUGUUCUUUGUGAAGAAUUUUCGGAGCCUGAUGAAGUCGGUAUAAAUAUGUGUUUAAUGCUACAAAAUAUGCCCGAUGUUACAGUUACUGCACUAGCCUGUCCCGUACCGGGAUUGCUGAAGCUGAAAUAAGCACACAUCUUACCUAAUUCAGACUAAAACACAUCUAUUUAGCCUCACAAAAUGACUUUAUUUAUAGUUCAUACGGUUUUAAUACCCUAUAUUUCUUUCUAAUUUUUAGGAAAAGUACUUAAUUACCAUUGUUUAUUUCUAUACCAAAUGUCAUACACUUGCAUUGGAGCUAAAAAUAUAAACAACUACAUCAUUAUGUUGAUAUCCUAUAUUUUUACAAUAAAACUUACGACAAACACGUCUUCUAUCCUCAGUUUAUGCGUAUACCGAGCUGCAACGAACACAUUUGUACAUUAUUUUCCUUGAAGCCAUUGUGCGAGUUCACUUUAAUUCCGCGUGCUUUAUAUACAUGUUGCUGCUGAUUGGACUGCAGUUCUGACACACCCACCAAACAAGAGAAAAUGCAUCUCAAACCCCGGUGCACACCGUUUCCAGAAAAAAUGACGUUCCACCCGGAAACCGUAGCAAAACAUUGCGCACUGUUGACCGGAUUUGCAAAAAUUUGAUUCUAUCAUGUACUUGUCUAGAUCAACUUUUAAUAAAGAGAAAAGAGGUUUAGAGACAAAUUUUUGUUAAUAGCCUGUUAGUAAUCCCACAGUCCAUAGCAUCAGUAACUGUAUAAUUUAGUAAGGGAAAAU
This is a long non-coding RNA of Carassius auratus (goldfish), 1653 nucleotides long. NCBI's taxonomy places the organism in Eukaryota, Metazoa, Chordata, Actinopteri, Cypriniformes, Cyprinidae. The record is from Ensembl.